Molecule: small RNA, 1558 nt
Filed under: Pan troglodytes (chimpanzee)
Lineage: Eukaryota; Metazoa; Chordata; Mammalia; Primates; Hominidae
Description: processed transcript
Source: RNAcentral
GAUCGCUGGGCCAGCUCUGCUCCCUGCAGUCUGCCCUCCGGCUGCGUGUGGAUGCUGCUCUUCCUCGCCCUGUGGGCCCUGGUGCCCUGCCUGGUGUUGUUAACCCUCUACUUUUUCUCCUCCACAGGAGGGAAGAGUGGGGGAAACAAGAAGAGUGAUGGUGUGAAGGAAUCCUCAGAGAGCACCAACACCACCAUCGAGGAUGAAGACACCAAAGUGCGGAAACAGGAAAUUAUAAAAGUGACAGAGCAGCUGAUUGAAGCCAUAAGCAAUGGAGAUUUUGAGUCCUACACGAAGAUGUGCGACCCUGGCAUGACAGCCUUCGAACCUGAGGCCCUGGGGAACCUGGUUGAGGGCCUGGACUUCCAUCGAUUCUAUUUUGAAAACCUGUGGUCCCGGAACAGCAAGCCCGUGCACACCACCAUCCUGAAUCCCCACAUCCACCUGAUGGGCGACGAGUCAGCCUGCAUCGCCUACAUCCGCAUCACGCAGUACCUGGACGCUGGCGGCAUCCCACGCACCGCCCAGUCGGAGGAGACCCGCGUCUGGCACCGCCGGGACGGCAAAUGGCAGAUCGUCCACUUCCACAGAUCUGGGGCGCCCUCCGUCCUGCCCCACUGAGGGACCAGGCUGGGGUCGCUGCGUUGCUGUGCCGCAGAGAUCCACUCUGUCCGUGGAAUGGAGCUGCUGGUUCUCCCAGGUGGAUUUUGCUGGAAUUCUCCCAUGUCAUCACCCCACCACCGUCACUUCUGUACCUGCAUCAAGAAAACCUGCUUGUUCACAAAAGUCAUCGCAACUUCAGAGCGAACGGCCACAUCUCCCCACCUCUCACCCCCACCCUCUCCCCUGCCAGGCUGGGGCUUCCUCAGGCAUGGGUGUCCACAGCACUGGCCCCCUCUCCCCAGCCUCAGCUGCUGUCCGCCUGGCCUGUCUUGGGCUGUAGGCUAGAAUGCCCGGGCUGUGUGCCCACCAGGGGCUGGGGAGAAGGAGGGGUGGCAUGAUGAGGAAGGCGGCAUCCGUCCGUCCCUCUCCCAGACCUCUCCUCUUCCAGUGUCCCCGGGGAAGGGCAGAUGACACUCCCUUCCCCCUAAGCCAACCGCACUGAAGGAGUGGGGAGAAGAGCAUACGCCAGGAGCCUCCUGCCUCAAAGUGCCCCCCUAAGUCUUCUUCCUCCUGUGCUGACCUCAGGGUGGUCUGACCCUUCCCUCGGUGUGGGGGAUGUGGCCCUCUCAGGUGCCCCUACUUGCUUUCUGCUUCCUUCUGGUGAAGUCCACCUCCAACAUUAACCUGCCCACCCCACUCCCGUCAUCCCUGGAGAAUUCCAGCUUUGUCAUAUCUCAGAGAGGGAAUCUAAUUGUUUUUGGGGGGCAAAAGAAAGCAACGUUUAGGUAUCACUUCUACUUGGACCGCAUGCCUUUUUAUAGCCAAAUUUCUGUGUAUUUCGUAAAUGGAUUUCGCGUUAAUGGAUAUUUAUGUAAUAACUAGACUUCUCAGAUUAUUGUGAGAAGGGUCAGGUUGGAAGGGGUGUAGGAAGAGGGGUGAGGGGUUGUUUUUUUCU